This 497-nucleotide ribosomal RNA is filed under the name uncultured bacterium. Its description in RNAcentral is "partial 16S ribosomal RNA". It matches the Rfam family "Bacterial small subunit ribosomal RNA", at positions 28 to 507 of the family's 1533-position model. The record is from RNAcentral.
GAUGAACGCUGGCGGCGUGCCUAAUACAUGCAAGUCGAGCGAACGGACGAGAAGCUUGCUUCUCUGAUGUUAGCGGAGGACGGGUGAGUAACACGUGGAUAACCUCCCUAUCAGACUGGGAUAACUUCGGGAAACCGGAGCUAAUACCGGAUAAUAUUUUGAACCGCGUGGGUCAAAAGUGAAAGACGGUCUUGCUGUCACUUAUAGAUGGAUCCGAGCUGCAUUAGGUAGUUGGUAAGGUAACGGCUUACGAAGGCAACGAUGCAUAGCCGACGUGAGAGGGGGAUCGGCCACAUGGGAGCGGGGACACGCACCAGGCGCCUACGGGAGGCAGCAGUAUGGAACGUGCCGCAGUGGUCGAAAGUCUGACGGAGCAACGCCGCGUGAGUGAUGAAGGUGUUCGGAGCGGAAAGAUCUGUUAUUAGUGAAGAACAGAUUUGGAAUUAACUGUGCCCUGCUUGACGGUACCUAAUCAGAAAGCCACGGCUAACUACGUG